AGUGAACGCUGGCGGCGUGCUUAACACAUGCAAGUCGAACGAGAACGGGUUAUAGCUUGCUAUAAUUGUCAGCUAAGUGGCGCACGGGUGAGUAAUGUAUAGGUAAUAUGCCUCUUACUAAGGGGUAACAAAUGGAAACGUUUGCUAAUACCUUAUACUCCUUAUUAACAUAAGUUAAUAAGGGAAAGAUUUAUUGGUAAGAGAUUAGCCUGUAUUGUAUCAGUUAGUUGGUGGGGUAAUGGCUUACCAAGACUAUGACACAUAACUGGUUUGAGAGGAUGAUCAGUCACACUGGAACUGAGACACGGUCCAGACUCCUACGGGAGGCAGCAGUGGGGAAUAUUGCACAAUGGACGAAAGUCUGAUGCAGCAACGCCGCGUGGAGGAUGACACGUUUCGGUGCGUAAACUCCUUUUAUAUGAGAAGAUAAUGACGGUAUUAUAUGAAUAAGCACCGGCUAACUCCGUGCCAGCAGCCGCCGCCG
Molecule: ribosomal RNA, 484 nt
Filed under: uncultured bacterium
Lineage: Bacteria
Description: partial 16S ribosomal RNA
Rfam family: Bacterial small subunit ribosomal RNA
Source: RNAcentral